GCUUUCGUGGUGCAGUAGUCAGCGCGCUGGACGCGUGUUCUAGAGGUCCGUGGUUCGAGUCCCGGCGAAGGCG
Molecule: non-coding RNA, 73 nt
Organism: Stegodyphus mimosarum
Lineage: Eukaryota; Metazoa; Arthropoda; Arachnida; Araneae; Eresidae
Source: Rfam